This is a long non-coding RNA of Octopus bimaculoides (California two-spot octopus), 2482 nucleotides long. RefSeq lists it as uncharacterized. The record is from RefSeq and is a predicted model, not a curated record. Lineage: Eukaryota; Metazoa; Mollusca; Cephalopoda; Octopoda; Octopodidae.
UAAUCACACCAUGUAACAAUCAGCCAGAAACACACAAAUCAGGUAGACUUCAAAGUCGUCAUGAAAUGGACAGACUUGAAUGGCUGUGAAUGCUAAGCUUUUCCCUGGUGAAAGAUGAAUCACCUGACAUAGACAAAGUGAUUUGAGAGUAAGAGCUAGCGGGACAGAAAGACAUAAGACAAUCUGGGGAGAGAAGAUAUGGGAACUUAAAGAGGCUUCAACCAGGCAUAGUUUCAGAGAAGUGUUAGUUAAUAUAUAGGACAAAAGAGAGGAUGAGAUAGAGACUUAUGGCAGAAAGGGCACCUGGGAUUUCUUAUAAGAAUACCUGCUGAAGGUUACAGAUGAAGUCUGUGUCUGGAGCAAGAGUUCAGCUCAAUGGAAGGGGCCUCCAAGACUGGUCGGUAGGAUGAAAGGAGGAAAUUAUCCUCUUACUGGAAAUCUGGUCAAAAUGCUUGCAUCAAAGCAAACGCUAUUAAAGGCAGCCAAGAAUCAGGCGGUGGUGUUAAACCAAAUGAGGGAUUAAGUCUGCCACUCAAGAACUCAGAAUGCUUUAAAGGGCCAGGAAUAUCACAAGAACUCAGAAUGCAAAGGGCCAGGAAUAUCACAAAACAUCUCAUCUGAAGCUUGAUCAAUUUCACCAAUCCACUAGUCUUGGACUAGUAACUUUAUUUAAUCAACUCUAAGAGGAUGAAAGGCAAGGUUGGCCUCAGUAGCACUUAAAUUUAAUACUAAAUUGGCAAAGUGUCAAUUCAUUUCACAUACAGGUAAACAGAGUUAACAAGUUCAACAAGGAACCCUUUACACUAGCAUCUGCUCUGUUAGAAAUUGGAGCCAAAUCUCCUGCAAAUUACAUAUUUAUCAUUUUAAAAAAGUAAAGAGAUUACAUAUUUUACAAGGUACACAGUGCCUAAAGUAAAAGGAAAAAUGGUUGUAAUGCCUGUUACUGGAGAUGAAUUGGAGUUAGGUAAUGAAUCACAUACCACAAAUCUGUACUCACUGCUUGACUAUUUAUGAUCAGUGUUACUGACUUCCUGAAAGAUUGACAUGAAAUGCUAGUGGUGACAUUCAUGCCUUUCCUACACAGAUAUUAGCAGCAUAGAUGACUAAAAUAUCUACAGCUGGGAAUUGUUACUGGGCUACAUAUGAAUUAACAUGCCAGGAACUUCCCCCACCCACCAUCACAUCUCCUUUGUUGUAGAUCUAUUUCUCAAUAUUAAGAUAUGCCCAUCAAUUAACUGACUUACCGUUACAUGGACAGCCACAUCCAGCCCAAAUAUUCUACCUGCUUUAUGUUCAACCCAGCCUGAUCCAGUCUCUCACACCUAAUCUACAAGGUCAUUCUAAAGGUAACAAUUGCAUCAUCAAAAUCUCAAAGCGACGAGAUAACGCAUGGUUAACUCAAAACAACAUGAAUAAAUAAGCAUGACAUUUGACAAAGUAAUCUGAAUGCUAAAGGGUUACAACACUCCUAGUUUCUGAAAGCCCCUCUCUUUGCCAUUUCUCCACAGACCAUUUUCAACAGAUCAUAUGACAUUUAACAAGGUUUCGUUUUCCUUGUUAGUAAAUAUCUGCCUUAUUUAUUAGUAAAUUGACAACUGUAAAAAAAUAAGCCGACAAAUUAAAUCUGUGCAUCACUGAAAGCAUACAUGCAAUCAUGACCUUGCUCCUCUUCUGCAGUUAAUGCAUUAUGAAUAAUUAAAAAAAAAAAAAAGCAAUGAAGAUACAUGGCAUUUAUUCAUGUAUAAGUCUCUUGGUAUCUACUAUACUAACUUGAAAAACAUAUGUCAAAUGAUAAUAUCUCAAGGACAACAGAAUUGAAUAAUAGUCAAUAAAAUAUCAAGUACAGUAUUAUCUUUAUUAAACAGUUUUUACCUAUGGGGAUAAUUUUGUCUUUUCCCACCAGCUUUGGGAUGAUAAUGGUUACAGUUGUAUAAGUGAAGCAGCCCCUACCAUUGCUUGCUCAACCUGCUAGAAAUUGCAAUGAAACCUCCUUCAAAUCAUACCUGACUGUCUUAAUAAAUGAAGGAAUACAAUAGAUGAUGUAGUACUACAUAUGCAAUGCUUGACAGAUGAACGGGAUAAUCAUGGCUGGAAUAACUUUGAUUAUUAUAGGUGUCAGUAGUCAGAAUGAGGUAACCUGGGGUUAAACAACAUAAUGUAACAUUAAUGGAUGUCUGUUCUACCAUAACGAGGAUUCUGUUUCACUCACAAGGUAUGGGUCAGACUGAAGCUAUAGAAAAUUGCAUUUGCCUAAGAUACCAUGCAGUCAGAUAAAAUUGAGGACCUCAUGGGUUCGAGGGCAAAUACAAGUAAAUUGACAAUGAAUUGAAUAAAGGAGCAACAUGAAAGUGACUGUAUUAUGAAACUGCUACACUUUAGGUUAUUUGAAACAAAUGUAAUGAUUGCUUUACAUCAAUACUCAAACAGGAAAAUGGGAAAAUACUAUGAUGUAGACAGAAAUAAAAUAUAACUCUAUGCAACA